Molecule: ribosomal RNA, 304 nt
Filed under: uncultured bacterium
Lineage: Bacteria
Description: partial 16S ribosomal RNA
Rfam family: Bacterial small subunit ribosomal RNA
Source: RNAcentral
CAGCAUCAGCCGCGGGAAUACGUAGGUGGCAAGCGUUGUCCGGAAUUAUUGGGCGUAAAGGGCUCGCAGGCGGUUUCUUAAGUCUGAUGUGAAAGCCCCCGGCUCAACCGGGGAGGGUUAUUGGAAACUGGGAAACUUGAGUGCAGAAGAGGAGAGUGGAAUUCCACGUGUAGCGGUGUAAUGCGUAGAGAUGUGGAGGAACACCAGUGGCGAAGGCGACUCUCUGGUCUGUAACUGACGCUGAGGAGCGAAAGCGUGGGGAGCGAACAGGAUUAGAUACCCCUGUAGUCCCUGUCUCUUAUAC